This 532-nucleotide ribosomal RNA is filed under the name Liotyphlops albirostris. RNAcentral describes it as "partial 16S ribosomal RNA". It matches the Rfam family "Bacterial large subunit ribosomal RNA", at positions 1816 to 2619 of the family's 2925-position model. Lineage: Eukaryota; Metazoa; Chordata; Lepidosauria; Squamata; Anomalepididae. The record is from RNAcentral.
AACCUUUAGCAAAAACAAGUAUUAAAGGCAACUCCUGCCCAGUGAAAAUCACUUUAACGGCCGCGGUACCCUAACCGUGCAAAGGUAGCAUAAUCACUUGUCUACUAAUUAUAGACUAGUAUGAAAGGAUGAAUGAGGGCCGGACUGUCUCUUGUAGUCAAUCAAUAAAACUGAUCCCUCAGUAAAAAAGCUGAGAUACCUCUAUAAGACGAGAAGACCCCGCGAAGCUUCAGGGGGGGGGCCACAACCCCUUGGCUCCGCACCUUCGGUUGGGGCAACCUCGGAAACAAAUCAAACUCCCGAAACCAGGCCAUAAGCCACAAAGGCCAACACGCCAUCAUACGACCCAGCACCAAGCUGACCACUGAAACAAGUUACUCCGGGGGUAACAGCGCUAUCCUCUUUUAGAGCCCAUAUCAAAAAGAGGGCUUACGACCUCGAUGUUGGAUCAGGACACCCAAAUGGCGCAGCCGCUAUCAAAGGUUCGUUCGUUCAACGAUUAACAGUCCUACGUGAUCUGAGUUCAGACCGG